ACACACCCCCACAAGGUGUAAUGACCCAGUGUGGCAACCGUGAGACUGGGAGGUACGUUUUUAAGAUGUAAUGUAACAUGAGGGACCGAGCGUCAUACCUACGAUCUUCAGACCGCCGCUCUUCGGCAGUACUCUCAUCUCCUUCACUCAUCAUAUAGAAAGGGGUCUAACAGUCCUGACAUGACUGUUUAAAUAAAA
RNAcentral lists this unclassified non-coding RNA (198 nucleotides) under Eggplant mottled dwarf virus. RNAcentral describes it as "Eggplant mottled dwarf nucleorhabdovirus miscellaneous RNA". The record is from RNAcentral. Lineage: Riboviria; Orthornavirae; Negarnaviricota; Monjiviricetes; Mononegavirales; Rhabdoviridae.